RNAcentral lists this transfer RNA (37 nucleotides) under Lotharella globosa. Its description in RNAcentral is "partial tRNA". Lineage: Eukaryota; Cercozoa; Chlorarachniophyceae. The record is from RNAcentral.
UCUUAGCUCAGUUGGUAGAGCAGCGGAUUGAAAAUCC